Molecule: long non-coding RNA, 954 nt
Filed under: Toxoplasma gondii VEG
Lineage: Eukaryota; Apicomplexa; Conoidasida; Eucoccidiorida; Sarcocystidae
Source: RNAcentral
CCGACAUUUUAUGUUAGCUGAAAGCGUGAGAAUAGGUUCUCAACUUUAUUUUACUGUCCUCCUUGUUUCCUCUCCAAAUAUGCUGGUGAAUGAAAGAGAAAGAGAGAAGGACAAUCGCCUUGACACUUUGAGAACCGCGAGAAAGGACGGAGAGACUCGAGCGGUUUGACCGCCAUGGUGGGUGCUCGGGUCCGUUGGCUGGACAGUUGGAAAGUUUUUUCUUGCCUCUGUUUCUGUCGAGAAGUGUAAAUUUCUCUGUUCUGUUCACCACAUGUCUUUCGUCGGCUUCGUUGGGGACUCUCUGCUUGCAGUAUAGACUCCAUAAAGGAAGGCGAAGGGACAGCACACUCGCGGGUGUGACACGGGCGCUCGAACGCCGGAAGUCCCCGAAACUUUUUCUUCUUUCGGAUGGCAGUUUCCUCUGUCUUUUAAGUCGUGGAAAGUGCGCCACGAAGGGCAUGAGAGACCUCCCGAUUUCCCGGUGUCUUUAUUCAGAGUGGUGAAAUGUCUGGAUCUUCCAAAGGACUCUCUCCAGUUCUGGUUCGCUGAAUCCGACGAGUCUUCGGUUGAUUUCAUGGCAAAAGAACGGAUGAUGAUUUUCGACAUUUGUUUCAUACAACAUUUCUCUGCUCCAUUCAUGCAUACAGGUGUACAUUCGCGCUUAUGGAAUCUACUUGGAGGAAAGUGUAUUCCCCUUCUCUUGGUCCACGGUAUUAUGGAUCUGCGCGUUGCUGCAUCCUCAAGAAGUCCCGCUGACCGGGUUCUCCUUUAUUGCAGCUUCUGAAAUCACCUUCUCGAUGCCGCGAAACGUCUCCUCGAUCGAACUGCCUCUCCUCACUUCAGUUAAUUCAGCAAUGCUUUCAGCUGGUUUUCUACAUGCACGGGAUUUCGCACUUCUCUCUCCUGUCUACGACAGUCUUGAACCCGUGGAACUUCUCUGCAGAGAGUCGGCAC